Molecule: long non-coding RNA, 719 nt
Organism: Mauremys mutica (yellowpond turtle)
Lineage: Eukaryota; Metazoa; Chordata; Testudines; Geoemydidae
Exons: 5
Source: RefSeq, a predicted model, not a curated record
UGACUUCCAAGUAGGAUCAAGGAAGAGAAGAGAGAGAGAGUGUGUGAGUGUGUGUGAGAGACAGAGAGCUUUUAGCCAUACAGAAAUAUCUGAAAUAUUAGACAAGGGAAUUCAGAACAUGAAUAGUCAAGCAAACUGAUUUAAGUACAACUGGUCUCUUUUUCCAUAUUUGCUGCUGCAGUAGGUGGAAAUCCCUUUUUCUAUGUGAAUAGAACACCCUCCCCAAGUUUUGCAUGAAGUAACUCUCACCAGACUUAAUCAAAAGUAACACCACUGACAUCAAUAGAGUUGAACCAGUGUAAAACCAGUAAAGAGAGAGUCAGUCCCUGCAUUUCAAGUUUGUGAAAGGAAUUUGUUUUUCUCUCACUGACAGCUCAACACUCGGAUACACAUCUAGAGAACAAAGACUGAACUGGGGAGUUGGUCCCAGGCUGAAGGGGAUUUGCAGCCUGUGUAUGGAAGAACUGUGAUCUGCUUGUAUUGUCUAUCAAGAGAUUCCUUGUCUUUAUUCUUCAUUCUGCUUCUUUUGACUAAAAGCAGAAAUCCUUUCCAGAGAGACACUAAGCCAUCUUUGUCAUGGAUGUUUCAACAUUAACCAGAAAGGUUUCUUUUACAGCCUCAUCACCAUAGUAUCCGAGUGCCUUCCAGCAGUGCAUUAAACAACUUGAUUACACAUCUAUCAUGUGUGGUUCAUUAUCUCUCUCAUCCUCUCCUCCCAC